UUUUAGGGUCGCGCCAUGGCCCAGCACGAAACCUACGGGAACUGGAUCGGCCCCAAGCGCCUCCAGCGGCAGCCGGGAAUUUACUCCGUGGCCGGGAAGAUUCCCCCACUGAGCGACUUCAGACCGGCGUCUCCCGAGAGCUUCGAGGACGAUUACGACGACG
This is a non-coding RNA of Lonchura striata (white-rumped munia), 163 nucleotides long. The record is from RefSeq and is a predicted model, not a curated record. Lineage: Eukaryota; Metazoa; Chordata; Aves; Passeriformes; Estrildidae.